Molecule: non-coding RNA, 652 nt
Organism: Podarcis muralis (Common wall lizard)
Lineage: Eukaryota; Metazoa; Chordata; Lepidosauria; Squamata; Lacertidae
Source: RefSeq, a predicted model, not a curated record
CAGCAGCGCCCCUGGGCAGCGCGGGCGGGAAUGGGAACCCCCGCCUGGGAGGCAGGAUAUCUCCGGGGGAUAAUUGUAAGGGGAAAGCCUUGCAGUACCCAGCCAAUGGGGAGAGAAGGGAGGGAACCUUGGCUUCGAGUACAGGGAACAGAUGCUCCGUGCUUUAAGGGUUAAAGCCAGAGAGUGCAAGCUGCUAGAGUGGAGGGUGCUGCUGCUCGAUACUGACUUGGGAAAGGGGGCGCGGCUUAAGCAGAACAGCUGACCCGCCCCCUCUGCCGUCCUGCACUGUCCUUGUCCUGCAAGGAAUCCGGUCAGUCCCUAGCUAGAGAUCUGCCAUCCCCUUGUCGCGGUCCAGAUUUGGGUCUCUGCCUCCUAGGAGUUUAGACGCACACGGUUGAGACAUGUUGACUGCAGCAGGCAAUGGCUCCCUUGCAUGUGUGAACAGCCUGGAUGGCUGCUGUCAGAGCCAGAGAACAGAUGGAUGUCAGGCCGACCCUGCAUUCUUAUCCCGUUCCCCAGGCUCUCCCCACAGUGAUGGGAGGUGGGCCAGGAAAUGGACAUUUUUAUACAUAUGAAAAGCAAAUCAUGGACUGAGAACAUUUGUUUUGUAAAGUUAAAAAAAGUCUUUUUUUUAAAAAAAAGUUUUUGUUUA